RNAcentral lists this ribosomal RNA (229 nucleotides) under uncultured bacterium. RNAcentral's name for it is "partial 16S ribosomal RNA". It matches the Rfam family "Bacterial small subunit ribosomal RNA", at positions 568 to 796 of the family's 1533-position model. The record is from RNAcentral.
UGCGUAGGUGGUUUGAUAAGUCAGAGGUGAAAGCCCACCGCUUAACGGUGGAAUUGCCUUUGAUACUGUCAGACUUGAAUAAGGUUGAGGUCGGCGGAAUGUGUCAUGUAGCGGUGAAAUGCAUAGAUGUGACAUAGAACACCAAUUGCGAAGGCAGCUGGCUAGACCUUUAUUGACACUGAGGCACGAAAGCGUGGGGAGCGAACAGGAUUAGAUACCCUGGUAGUCC